This 42-nucleotide ribosomal RNA is filed under the name Pseudomonas fluorescens. RNAcentral describes it as "partial 23S ribosomal RNA". Lineage: Bacteria; Pseudomonadati; Pseudomonadota; Gammaproteobacteria; Pseudomonadales; Pseudomonadaceae. The record is from RNAcentral. RNAcentral also lists the same sequence under 1 other name.
GGUCAAGUGAAGAAGCGCAUACGGUGGAUGCCUUGGCAGUCA